This 461-nucleotide ribosomal RNA is filed under the name uncultured bacterium. RNAcentral's name for it is "partial 16S ribosomal RNA". It matches the Rfam family "Bacterial small subunit ribosomal RNA", at positions 338 to 795 of the family's 1533-position model. The record is from RNAcentral.
CCUACGUGCGGCAGCAGUGAGGAAUAUUGGUCAAUGGGCGAGAGCCUGAACCAGCCAAGUCGCGUGAAGGAUGACGGCCCUACGGGUUGUAAACUUCUUUUGUCAGGGAGCAAUUGAGUCCACGUGUGGGCUUAGCGAGAGUACCUGAAGAAAAAGCAUCGGCUAACUCCGUGCCAGCAGCCGCGGUAAUACGGAGGAUCCGAGCGUUAUCCGGAUUUACUGGGUGUAAAGGGAGCGUAGACGGAAUAGCAAGUCUGAUGUGAAAACCCGGGGCUCAACUCCGGGAGUGCAUUGGAAACUGUUGAUCUAGAGUGUCGGAGAGGCAAGCGGAAUUCCUAGUGUAGCGGUGAAAUGCGUAGAUAUUAGGAGGAACACCAGUGGCGAAGGCGGCUUGCUGGACGAUGACUGACGUUGAGGCUCGAAAGCGUGGGGAGCAAACAGGAUUAGAUACCCGAGUAGUC